This is a long non-coding RNA of Homo sapiens (human), 1779 nucleotides long. Ensembl annotates it as RNF139 divergent transcript. Its record names the gene RNF139-DT. NCBI's taxonomy places the organism in Eukaryota, Metazoa, Chordata, Mammalia, Primates, Hominidae. The record is from Ensembl.
GCGCUUUUCGGUAGCCGCGCUUUCCGGCGUUGGAGUUGCAGCUUCACCCUCGCAGAUUCGGCUUAGCGAGCGAGUCGGUGCUUCCGCGGAUCAAAAUUAUUAGCCGUUUUAUUAGAGCCCAUUAAACGUUGCAUAAACAUGGUUCAGAGCUGCCUGGGAGAAGAAAAGCCAAAGGAUGCCACCCUCUCGAUUUAUCCCACCCUCGGGAGUCUGAAAGCCGACGCCAGGAGAAAUCCCGCGAAGGCCGCCCGGGAUCCUGGUAGAGGCGACGCUGUGUGCGUUUAUGGAGCGCUUGCGGUGCGUGGCACUAGGCUGGGUGUGGUGGGUGCUGCCGAAAAAAGGGUUCCUCCCAUCCAUUUGCACGUCACCCUUCCCACCUCCUGCCCAGAUGGACAGAAGUGAGGACAUUCAUCGGCCGCAUUUUACUAAUGGCAAGGAGAUAGCGACUGAAGGGCAAGAACCUAGGGUUUCCUGUCUUUGAUAUUUCUCAUCUUUGAGGUAAGUACACCUGGACAGUCCCUUCCUUCCUCCUCAGGGCUCAUGCUUUCUUGCCUAUCCGUGUAAUUAAUAUGAUCUGGCUAUCUUUGUCUUUGUUCCGAAACUUCAGCUGCAAAUGAAAGUGUAAGUUAGGUCUGAGUCUGCACUAUAGACCUAGCUAUCCUAGGUUAAAGGGGAUAAAAUAGGAAUCAAGAAGCCUGGCCCGCUUGGGCUCCCAGCUCAAGUGCAUUCUGCAAUCCAGUUUAUAUUAGGCCUCCAUGUGGGUGGCUAUCCUUUAUCAAGAUCCCCCCCAGGGGGAGGAGGAUUAUUAGUCACAUUAUCAAACUCCCCUCCAACCCCUUUCUCUGCUUAGAGGUAUGUGUAAUGUGUAGUAGAAAGACCGAAUCCCCACCCAAAAGUCCUUACUGCUACUCAUGUUUUUAACCUUCUGUUCUUUACCCUACUCCCUAAUAAUGACCGCCAUCAUUUAUCUACUGCUUAAUGGAUACUAGGCACUGUGCUAAGGGUUUUAUGUUUUACUUCAAUCUUUUCAUCGGCUUUAUUUUGAUAGUUUGUUUUAUAGAGGAGGAAACAGACUUAGGUAAGUUACAAGAUGACAAGGUUACUACCUUGUUCAGUUAGUAGUCAGCAGCUAGUAUAUCCAAAGAUAGUACGAGUCAGAACUAGGAUUAUAAACUCAGGGCUACCUGAAACUCACAACUUCAGGCAUCUUUGAUUUCUUCUUUUCACCCACAGCCAAUUCUUCAACUAAAUUGUAUCCAUUCUGUUUUCACCGUCUCUUGUACUGGUCUCCUUUCUAUUGUAACUGUCAUCAUCCUAACUCAAGAUCCUUCUGUAGCUUUCCCCGGUUAUUGGAAUAUCCUUAUUACGACUGCCACCUUUUCUAAUCCAGUCUGUUUACUACUGCCGGGUUAAUUUCCCCAAACUGCAUGUCUGGGGAAUAACCUUGUGGUUAUGACAGAAUUCCCAAAGGAAAGCAAACUUGGCAAGGUGCAAAGACUAUGAAGACUUAGAACUUAAGAGUUCUAUGGAGAUCUUCAGAAAUAUAAAUUAGCUACUCAACAUAUCUGUUAUUCUGCCCUGAUUGCACUGUAAAGCAAAAGGAGAGAGGCCAUUAUGGGGAAAAAGAUCCAAAAGGACUCAUCUAAAACACAAGUUGGGUAGAGGAGAUAGGUGAGUACUAUUAUAUUAUGUUCAUGGAAAAUGAGUUCAUGGGCUUUCCUCUAAUUUUUAUUUUAAAAAUAAAUGUAAAUAUUAAAUAAAAUUUUUUAAAUGAACAAA